GACGAACGCUGGCGGCGUGCCUAAUACAUGCAAGUAGAACGCUGAAGCUUGGUGCUUGCACCGAGCGGAUGAGUUGCGAACGGGUGAGUAACGCGUAGGUAACCUGCCUGGUAGCGGGGGAUAACUAUUGGAAACGAUAGCUAAUACCGCAUGAUAUUGAUUAUUGCAUGAUAGUCAAUUAAAAGGUGCAAUUGCAUCACUACCAGAUGGACCUGCGUUGUAUUAGCUAGUUGGUGAGGUAACGGCUCACCAAGGCAACGAUACAUAGCCGACCUGAGAGGGUGAUCGGCCACACUGGGACUGAGACACGGCCCAGACUCCUACGGGAGGCAGCAGUAGGGAAUCUUCGGCAAUGGACGGAAGUCUGACCGAGCAACGCCGCGUGAGUGAAGAAGGUUUUCGGAUCGUAAAGCUCUGUUGUAAGAGAAGAACGAGUGUGAGAGUGGAAAGUUCACACUGUGACGGUAUCUUACCAGAAAGGGACGGCUAACUACGUGCCAGCAGCCGCGGUAAUACGUAGGUCCCGAGCGUUGUCCGGAUUUAUUGGGCGUAAAGCGAGCGCAGGCGGUUAGAUAAGUCUGAAGUUAAAGGCUGUGGCUUAACCAUAGUACGCUUUGGAAACUGUUUAACUUGAGUGCAAGAGGGGAGAGUGGAAUUCCAUGUGUAGCGGUGAAAUGCGUAGAUAUAUGGAGGAACACCGGUGGCGAAAGCGGCUCUCUGGCUUGUAACUGACGCUGAGGCUCGAAAGCGUGGGGAGCAAACAGG
This 765-nucleotide ribosomal RNA is filed under the name uncultured Streptococcus sp. Its description in RNAcentral is "bacterial SSU rRNA". It matches the Rfam family "Bacterial small subunit ribosomal RNA", at positions 28 to 776 of the family's 1533-position model. Lineage: Bacteria; Bacillati; Bacillota; Bacilli; Lactobacillales; Streptococcaceae. The record is from RNAcentral.